This 885-nucleotide ribosomal RNA is filed under the name Triticum aestivum (bread wheat). RNAcentral describes it as "partial small subunit ribosomal RNA". The record is from RNAcentral. Lineage: Eukaryota; Viridiplantae; Streptophyta; Magnoliopsida; Poales; Poaceae.
AUGGAGGUACACUGCGGCCGCGUUCUCCUCGGCGAUGACUCUUGCGGCCCCCUUUCGCUCGUCGUUUGGGACCCCAUGACGGGCUGCCGGAGGGAGCUGGACCCACCUGACCACUUGGGCAGAAGCUAUGGGGCAGCGGUGCUCUGCCCCGUUGCCGGCUGUGACCACCGUGCGUGCCACGCAGGCCCCUUCCAGGUGGUCUUCAUCGGUGUGGACAUGAUGGAAGAUGGAUGUCUUGUGCGCGCUUGUGUGUCCUUGCCGGUGGCGGGAGGUUGGAGCAAGCCCUGCUCUGAUUUUUGUUUUAAUAAGUGGAGCGAGCCGUGCUCUGCUCUUCAUCUUGGGUCUACAUUUUGGGACGGAAUGUCUCCUGUCUCCGUCGAAGAUGCACUGUACUUCAAGCUCGACUAUUUCGGAGAUGAUCACAUGGCAAUUCUCAAGUAUGACUUGGGAUCUAACUGCUUAUCACUGAUUGAUGCACCGUUUGCCGGGUCUAUCCUUGUCAAUGCCGCUAUCCUCAUGGCGAUGGAUGAUAACAGUUUGGGGUUUGCACAUGUGGACAAGGUAACCCUCCACUUGUGGUCAAGACAGGGAGGUUCCGAUGGAAUUGGGUCAUGGACUCAGCGUACAGUCAUCGAUCUUAAUAACCAUCUCCCCAUUCAAAAUCCCAAUAAAAGAUUUAGAUUGAUUGGAUCUCUGGAGGGCACAGAUAUCAUUUUUGUGACCAUGGGCCUUGACAUCUAUGAGAUUAAUCUCAAGACAUUACGGUGGAAGAAGCUACAGAAGAGAGAAAAGCUUUGUGGUCUGAUUCCGUACAUGAGUUUCUACAAUCCACAAGGUAUAUUUGUAUUUGCUGAGAACAGGAUGAUCAUAGGACCAGCAUCAUGA